GCACAUGCGCGCUGUCCUGGCUCGGGAGAUGGACUGCCGCCGUGUUUUGGGCCGGUUCUGGAGUGGCUGGCGGCGGGGCCUGGGUGUCCGCCCAGUGCCCGAGGACGCAGGCUUUGGCACCGAAGCCCGGUGAUUAAGUACCCCCUCUCUCAUGCGGGACGGAGGCUAGGGCAGGGGGAAGGCACGUGCGGGUCUGGAUCAGGUAGAUGUUACCCGAAAACAGCCCCGUUGGCCUCUCUGAGCCUCGGUGCCCUCCGCUGUAGAAUGGGACCGGUCGUACCUGAAUUUUCGAGGUCAGCCCAGACAUUGUGAGGCAUUUGUCAGAGGCCGCAGGAUUUGGGAAGAGGCGUCCGGAGAUAGGAAUGGGCGGCACCUCGGGAUGGAAUGACUCCCAUUGCUUCUCCCUCCUUGUCCAGGCAUCAGAGGCAACCCCGCGGCUCCCGCCAACGGUCGGGGCCCCUCGGGGACCAGCCCUUCCCGGGGCUGCUGCCAAAAAACCUCAGUCGGGAGGAGUUGGUUGAUGCGCUGCGGGCAGCCGUGGUGGACCGGAAAGGACCUCUAGUGACGUUGAACAAGCCACAGGGUCUACCGGUGACAGGAAAACCAGGAGAGCUGACGUUGUUCUCAGUGCUGCCAGAGCUGAGCCAGUCCCUAGGGCUCAGGGAGCAGGAGCUUCAGGUUGUCCGAGCAUCUGGGAAAGAAAGCUCUGGGCUUGUACUCCUCUCCAGCUGUCCCCAGACAGCUAGUCGCCUCCAGAAGUACUUCAUCCAUGCACGAAGAGCCCAGAGGCCCACAGCCAUCUACUGGUGAGAGGUGCUGGGA
RNAcentral lists this small RNA (822 nucleotides) under Pan troglodytes (chimpanzee). RNAcentral describes it as "retained intron". The record is from RNAcentral. Lineage: Eukaryota; Metazoa; Chordata; Mammalia; Primates; Hominidae.